GAGUCGUGUGCGAGUCAUGAGUAGCGCAUGACCGAAUGCCAACGAACAUUCACGAUCUUGUACCGCUCUAUGGCAAUGUUGUAUCGUAAUAUCAAAAGGCCCGGCGUUAUCACAACGAUAGACAAAAAAAUUAGUUUUAUCCUAUUUUCAAUUUUAUUUUUUUUUUUAUUAAAUUCGUGAUAUAUUUGUUAAGUUUUACUACAAAGUGCUUGACGUGACACAAUGGUGAGCAUCGAAAGAUUAACAGCUACGUUGAUUAUUAUGAAUUAUAAUACGUCAAUAUUUGGCGUUAUUAUGAAACAAUUGUGAAACAAUGUUGUAUGAAAUAAAAAUAAUAUUAUUAUUUCAUAUUAAGUGUUAGCAUAUCAUUAAAUAACAGUGAAAAUGUGUUUAUAUAAAUUAAAUAUUUUAUAUAAAAAAGGGGCAUACGAGGUGUUUUUUUAAAAUGGAAUGGUACAUUGAUAAAUUAAAGAAAAAAAUUUUAUACUUUAAUAAUACUAUUACUAAAAUUCAAGAAAGAAUAAAAUAAAAAAAAAAAGUCUUCAAUAAAAGACAUCUCAUACAUUUCUUUUGAGAAAAUAUAAAUAUUUAAAAAAAAUUGACUGAUAUACUAAAAGAAAAAAAAAGUAUCUAAUAUCAUCCGUCCGAUCAGUGUCGAUCUAUAAUUUUGGUGCAUCACAUUGGUGUCUUGAAAGAUGCAAGUUGGCGCGAGAAGACAAAACGUCGAGACGACAACGAUAGAAAUCAUUGUCAUUGCACGCCCCUGGUGGUAGUCGUCGUUUGCACCCUUUGCUUAACCAUCACCCCCUUCUGCCGCCUUUCUCAUCUCGAUAAUAAAAAUCAUAUUAAUAAUAACUUUGCAUCUUGGCUAUAUAGGCAAUGUGCAACGAGGUGCGAUAGGCAAAUUAAAGUGAGAUAAGAAUUGAAAAUAAAACAAAGGGAUGCUUAUAAAUGAGAAUGAUUGAAAUUUGAAAAAAUUAAUAAUGCAGUAAUGCCAAGAUAGAAAUUCUUUUUUUUUUUUUUUUUGUUUUUUUACAAAAGUGGAAAAAGAUUAUGCAAGAUUAGAUUGGGGUGGUUAAACCACUUAAUAUUGUGUGCCAGCAGUGUGUCAAGUUGAUGUGAAGAAACAUUCACCAUCGUAGGCCUGGAAGAAGAAGCAGCCAUUUUGGUGGCUUCGGG
Molecule: long non-coding RNA, 1179 nt
Organism: Aphidius gifuensis
Lineage: Eukaryota; Metazoa; Arthropoda; Insecta; Hymenoptera; Braconidae
Exons: 2
Source: RefSeq, a predicted model, not a curated record